RNAcentral lists this transfer RNA (74 nucleotides) under Candidatus Saccharimonadota bacterium. Its description in RNAcentral is "tRNA-Gly". It matches the Rfam family "tRNA". Rfam says of the family: Transfer RNA (tRNA) molecules are approximately 80 nucleotides in length. Their secondary structure includes four short double-helical elements and three loops (D, anti-codon, and T loops). Further hydrogen bonds mediate the characteristic L-shaped molecular structure. tRNAs have two regions of fundamental functional importance: the anti-codon, which is responsible for specific mRNA codon recognition, and the 3' end, to which the tRNAs corresponding amino acid is attached (by aminoacyl-tRNA synthetases). tRNAs cope with the degeneracy of the genetic code in two manners: having more than one tRNA (with a specific anti-codon) for a particular amino acid; and 'wobble' base-pairing, i.e. permitting non-standard base-pairing at the 3rd anti-codon position. Lineage: Bacteria; Candidatus Saccharimonadota. The record is from RNAcentral.
GCGGGUAUAGUUGAGUGGCUCAAUGCCACCUUCCCAAGGUGGAGACACGGGUUCAAUUCCCGUUACCCGCUCCA